UAUCAUUGCAGACCUCUCGGGGUCUCCCCACAGAGCUCAGGAGUGCCCGGUUCCACCUGCUCCUGGAUUUUUUUAGCCCCCAGCUGCCCGGCCCUAGAGCAGGUGCUUGGGGAUGGGAUUUAUCCACAUGCCAGUAUCGUGGGAGCGGCUCGCAGCGGUGGGAUCCUGUGGGGUUUUGGUUGUACCUUUCAGCCAGGUGGUUCCUUCCCCACCCCUCUCCAUGUCUUUCAGGCAUAGGAAUAAGAUACGCAGUUCUCUCAAUAUUUGUCCCUCUCAAGGAUUUCUCAAGCUCUCCAAGGGAGGGAGAGGUAAAGCUCUGGAGUGGAGAAUCCCAGAGGAGAAGUGUCACUCGUGUCCAUGGGUUUUCCCAUCUCUCUGCUCGAAGAGCCAGGAGGGGAGUGCUCACCUGCAGGGAUGCACACUGCCAGGUGCAGAUGGAAUGGGAGCCUCUUUGGAUUUCCAGCAGCACUCUGCAUUCCCAACCUGCUUGUUUCUCCCAGAGCCUGGAGAAACCUCAGGAUGGGCAGCUCGGAGGGACUCCACGUCCACCUCACCUACUGCUUGUGUGUUCGGUUGGGAAAUCUUGGCUCUCCCUGCCUUCUCCCUUCCCCUCCCCACUGGAAUUCGCCUUUUGGAAUCAAAAAUCCUACCGGCUAUUUUUAAAGUGCUGUCGGAGCCCACUCAGCUCCUGCUCCCAGUGACAGAUCCGGCUGUCAGAAUCUUCAGCUGUUUUUUGCUCCCUCUGCUCCAAGCCCGAGUGGCAACAGCCGGGAUUCCCUCCUCAUUCACACCCGGAGCCAGACCCGGGCCGGGGACCAGGAUUUUCCUCUGGAGGGUCCAGGGGGAUUUGGUGCCCAUCCCGUCCGUGGCGUUUGCCAGGGGGAAAGGACGGAGCAAAGGUGGCCAGGAACGAGGAGCCACAGGGGCUUCCACUCCCUGAGCCCUGCACGGGCUUCUGGAACCUCAGAUUUUUAUCUGGCUGCGAGGCCAUGGAGGGGCCCAGGGAGGUUGGAAUUCUCCUGGGUGAUCCCACGGGUCUCUCUGGCUGUCACUUGGGCCAGAGCUUGUGACAAGGACACCCAUGUGUCCCGCAGGGAAGGAGCUCCCAGCUCUAGGAGCCAGACCGUUUCCUGAGGAGGCUGACACAGGGCAGCCGCCGAAUGAAGCUGGGAGCUGCUGGCGG
This is a non-coding RNA of Sturnus vulgaris (Common starling), 1183 nucleotides long. The record is from RefSeq and is a predicted model, not a curated record. Lineage: Eukaryota; Metazoa; Chordata; Aves; Passeriformes; Sturnidae.